Siniperca chuatsi (mandarin fish) is the source of this 1627-nucleotide long non-coding RNA. RefSeq lists it as uncharacterized. NCBI's taxonomy places the organism in Eukaryota, Metazoa, Chordata, Actinopteri, Centrarchiformes, Sinipercidae. The transcript is spliced from 4 exons. The record is from RefSeq and is a predicted model, not a curated record.
UUUCCUUAUCCUAUUAGCUAUUCCAUUUGCUUAGUCAUUUAGUGUCUCCAUUUAGCAUCUCCUUUUAAGUUUCUUUGACACUUUGGGCCUUGUGAGGUAAAACAAUGCAAAUUACCUGCAAUAUAACAAGCUGUGUCUCGUACUGUAGUUAGAGGCUGUGGAGCCUCUGCUCAUUGUGCGGUAGUCGGUGGUAGUGAGUCUGUAAUCUAGCGAGUCGGCCUGUUUUCUGAAGUUUUACAUUUGAUUUCACCAUUUUACAUCAUGGCCAAUUAUUGUGUUUGCAAAUUGUACAAACUCAGCCUGUCAAGACAUCGAGUCCACUGUUUUCUAACAGAAAAAGGUUGCUAACUAGCUAGCUUUGGUGCGUGUGGUUGCAGGUCAAGAGAUAGGACUUUACUGCUGCAUCUGUAAUGGAAAACCGCUGUCGUGUUCGACGCUCAUUUUAGACAGGAGGAUCAUGUUCCCGGUGACAUGAUGGAGUUCAGGAUGGAAUAACAAAGCCAGGACCGUGUGAGACUGACAGCUGCUGCGGUUACUUCAGUACACACAGCUGCUUCAUCAGGUCCACAGUCAGCAGGCCUCUGGUAACGUUACUACCACCGGCGGAAAAUGUUUUGGGAGAUACUACAAGUAAUGAAGGGACAGAUCAGAUGCACCCACACCCAGCGCUGCAGUGCUUAUAGACCUAUAGCAAGAGGCCUUCUCUCCACUGGCUCCUCAGCCUCCAUCUGUGCUUCACUGUGGCUCACAGUGUGACCUCAAACCUUUCCGUGUUCAUCAGGUCUACAGAAAACUUGAACCUGAAGCUGUGGAGGUGAGCCAUUAUCAACCACCUGUACUGGACUGCAGCUUCCACUAAUCUCCACUAAUGGAGAUCCAGAUGUGAUGGUGUUCAGAACAUCCAUGAAGAUGGCACGUUGGAACCAGCAUAUGCAUCGGCCCUCAUGGAGUCUCUGAGAGAGGGCUACGCCAGGUCACCAAAGGCUCUACGAGAGAGAAGUGCUGUCUUGUCCUACACUGCUCCUGCCCCCCUUUCCAGAUCCUGCCAGAAGAUCACCACGGAUGAAGCAGUUGGCCUGUAUCUUGCACGGUUUUCACUGUUUAACAGAGGACAUUAAUGUGAAACCAGCACAGAUGUUUUGGUUCCCAGUUUUCAGGUUGAGAUUAUUAUGAGUCAAGACAAAGGCAGAUCAGUCCCACAAUUCAUAUUCAUAUUAUCCUCGGCCAAAGACAUACUCAGUCACAUUUGUUUAUUUGUGAGAUAUAUCAAAACCUGGUACGAAAGAUUUUGAUGAAAACUGGUCAACAAUUUAGGCCACAGGCCAAGGAUAGAGUGACUAGUUUUUGUUGCUUUGUUUUUUGUUUCAAAAGUUUUCUCAACAUUGCAAGAGAGCAUUUUGAACAUUUCCCCUGUUUACUUUGCUUAUUGCACUGUAGAGCCAGAUGCUAAUUAAAACAUUUUCUAUUAAUAAAAUAUUGAGGAUUGUACAGCUUUAGUUGGAAGUAUGCUUUCUGAGUGCUUUCUAUUUUUAAAUGGGUCAGUUGGUAUUUUUUUCUUUUGACCAUAUACAGUGGUGUGAAAAAGUGUUUUCCCCCUUCCUGAUUUCUUAUUUUUUUUGCAUGUUUG